Molecule: ribosomal RNA, 1019 nt
Filed under: uncultured bacterium
Lineage: Bacteria
Description: bacterial SSU rRNA
Rfam family: Bacterial small subunit ribosomal RNA
Source: RNAcentral
GGGGAAUAUUGGUCAAUGGGCGUAAGCCUGAACCAGCCAAGUAGCGUGAGGGAAGACUGCCCUAUGGGUUGUAAACCUCUUUUGUGCGGGGAUAAAGUGAGGGACGUGUCCCUUAUUGCAGGUACCGCACGAAUAAGGACCGGCUAAUUCCGUGCCAGCAGCCGCGGUAAUACGGAAGGUCCGGGCGUUAUCCGGAUUUAUUGGGUUUAAAGGGAGCGCAGGCCGUCCUUUAAGCGUGCUGUGAAAUGCCGCGGCUCAACCGUGGCACUGCAGCGCGAACUGGAGGACUUGAGUACGCACGAGGUAGGCGGAAUUCGUGGUGUAGCGGUGAAAUGCUUAGAUAUCACGAAGAACUCCGAUUGCGAAGGCAGCUUACCGGAGCGCAACUGACGCUGAGGCUCGAAAGCGCGGGUAUCGAACAGGAUUAGAUACCCUGGUAGUCCGCGCGGUAAACGAUGGAUGCCCGCCGUUGGGAUUUUGAUUUCAGCGGCCAAGCGAAAGCGUUAAGCAUCCCACCUGGGGAGUACGCCGGCAACGGUGAAACUCAAAGGAAUUGACGGGGGCCCGCACAAGCGGAGGAACAUGUGGUUUAAUUCGAUGAUACGCGAGGAACCUUACCCGGGCUUGAAUUGCAGGAGAACGAUCCAGAGAUGGUGAGGCCCUUCGGGGCUCCUGUGAAGGUGCUGCAUGGUUGUCGUCAGCUCGUGCCGUGAGGUGUCGGCUCAAGUGCCAUAACGAGCGCAACCCCUGUCCAUAGUUGCCAUCAGGUCGUGCUGGGCACUCUGUGGAGACUGCCGCCGUAAGGUGUGAGGAAGGUGGGGAUGACGUCAAAUCAGCACGGCCCUUACGUCCGGGGCUACACACGUGUUACAAUGGGGCAUACAGCGAGUUGGAUGUGCGCAAGUACGUCCGGAUCAAUAAAGUGCCUCUCAGUUCGGACUGGGGUCUGCAACCCGACCCCACGAAGCUGGAUUCGCUAGUAAUCGCGCAUCAGCCAUGGCGCGGUGAAUACGUUCCCG